AGAGUUUGAUCAUGGCUCAGAAUGAACGCUGGCGGCGUGCCUAACACAUGCAAGUCGAACGAGAAACUCCGAGCUUGCUCGGAGGAGUAAAGUGGCGCACGGGUGAGUAACACGUGGGUAACCUGCCCUUGAAUCUGGGAUAACUUCGCGAAAGCGUUGCUAAUACCUGAUAUUGUUAUUUUAACUUCGGUUUUAAUAAUGAAAGAUGACCUCUUCAUGAAAGUUGUCGUUCAAGGAGGGGCUCGCGUACCAUUAGCUUGUUGGUGGGGUAAUGGCCUACCAAGGCUGCGAUGGUUAGCUGGUCUGAGAGGAUGAUCAGCCACACUGGAACUGAAACACGGUCCAGACUCCUACGGGAGGCAGCAGUGAGGAAUUUUGCGCAAUGGGGGAAACCCUGACGCAGAACGCCGCGUGAGUGAAGAAGGCUUUCGGGUCGUAAAGCUCUGUCAGAUGGGAAAAAAUUUUUGUGGUAAAUAGCCACUAAAUCUGAUGGUACCAUCAGAGGAAGCACCGGCUAACUCCGUGCCAGCAGCCGCGGUAAUACGGAGGGUGCAAGCGUUGUUCGGAAUUAUUGGGCGUAAAGGGCGUGUAGGCGGGAUGGUUAGUCAGAUGUGAAAGCCCUGGGCUUAACCCAGGAAGUGCAUUUGAUACUGCCAUUCUUGAGUAUGGGAGAGGAGAGUGGAAUUCCCAGUGUAGAGGUGAAAUUCGUAGAUAUUGGGAGGAACACCCGUGGCGAAGGCGACUCUCUGGACCAAUACUGACGCUGAGACGCGAAAGCGUGGGGAGCAAACAGGAUUAGAUACCCUGGUAGUCCACGCCGUAAACGAUGAGAACUAGGUGUAGCGGGUAUUGACCCCUGCUGUGCCGAAGUUAACGCAUUAAGUUCUCCGCCUGGGGAGUACGGCCGCAAGGCUAAAACUCAAAGGAAUUGACGGGGACCCGCACAAGCGGUGGAGCAUGUGGUUUAAUUCGACGCAACGCGAAGAACCUUACCUGGAUUUGACAUCCUCUGUUACCCAUGGAAACAUGGUUUUUUAUGCUUGCAUAAACAGAGUGACAGGUGCUGCAUGGCUGUCGUCAGCUCGUGUCGUGAGAUGUUGGGUUAAGUCCCGCAACGAGCGCAACCCUUGUUUUUAGUUGCCAUUAUUAAGUUGGGCACUCUAGAAAUACUGCCUCGGUUAACGGGGAGGAAGGUGGGGAUGACGUCAAGUCCUCAUGGCCUUUAUAUCCAGGGCUACGCACGUGCUACAAUGGGCUGUACAAGGAGUUGCCACUUCGCAAGAAGGAGCUAAUCUCAAAAAGCAGUUCUCAGUUCGGAUUGGAGUCUGCAACUCGACU
This 1338-nucleotide ribosomal RNA is filed under the name metagenome. Its description in RNAcentral is "bacterial SSU rRNA". It matches the Rfam family "Bacterial small subunit ribosomal RNA", at positions 8 to 1317 of the family's 1533-position model. The record is from RNAcentral.